UUCUAGAGCUAAUACAAUCGAGCUCCGACCUGCAUUUAUUAGAACAAUGUUGACUCUGAAUAACUGAGCAGAUCGUUUUAGUACCGGCGACGUAUCUUUCAAGUGUCUGCCUUAUCAAAUUUCGAAGGUACUUUAUGUGAGUACCUUGUUUUUGACGGGUAACGGAGAAUUAGGGUUCGACUCCGGAGAGGGAGCCUGAGAAACGGCUACCACUUCCAAGGU
RNAcentral lists this ribosomal RNA (222 nucleotides) under Theristus flevensis. Its description in RNAcentral is "partial small subunit ribosomal RNA". It matches the Rfam family "Eukaryotic small subunit ribosomal RNA", at positions 156 to 422 of the family's 1831-position model. The record is from RNAcentral. Lineage: Eukaryota; Metazoa; Nematoda; Chromadorea; Monhysterida; Xyalidae.